RNAcentral lists this ribosomal RNA (630 nucleotides) under Trichoderma strigosellum. RNAcentral describes it as "eukaryotic LSU rRNA". The stretch from base 240 to 393 matches the Rfam family "5.8S ribosomal RNA". The record is from RNAcentral. Lineage: Eukaryota; Fungi; Ascomycota; Sordariomycetes; Hypocreales; Hypocreaceae.
GGAAGUAAAAGUCGUAACAAGGUCUCCGUUGGUGAACCAGCGGAGGGAUCAUUACCGAGUUUACAACUCCCAAACCCAAUGUGAACGUUACCAAACUGUUGCCUCGGCGGGGUCACGCCCCGGGUGCGUCGCAGCCCCGGAACCAGGCGCCCGCCGGAGGAACCAACCAAACUCUUUACUGUAGUCCCCUCGCGGACGUUUUUACUUACAGCUCUGAGCAAAAAUUCAAAAUGAAUCAAAACUUUCAACAACGGAUCUCUUGGUUCUGGCAUCGAUGAAGAACGCAGCGAAAUGCGAUAAGUAAUGUGAAUUGCAGAAUUCAGUGAAUCAUCGAAUCUUUGAACGCACAUUGCGCCCGCCAGUAUUCUGGCGGGCAUGCCUGUCCGAGCGUCAUUUCAACCCUCGAACCCCUCCGGGGGGUCGGCGUUGGGGAUGCGGGAACCCCUAAGACGGGAUCCCGGCCCCGAAAUACAGUGGCGGUCUCGCCGCAGCCUCUCCUGCGCAGUAGUUUGCACAACUCGCACCGGGAGCGCGGCGCGUCCACGUCCGUAAAACACCCAACUUCUGAAAUGUUGACCUCGGAUCAGGUAGGAAUACCCGCUGGACUUAAGCAUAUCAAUAAGCGGAGGA